This 491-nucleotide ribosomal RNA is filed under the name Gloydius brevicauda (short-tailed mamushi). RNAcentral's name for it is "partial 12S ribosomal RNA". It matches the Rfam family "Bacterial small subunit ribosomal RNA", at positions 832 to 1522 of the family's 1533-position model. Lineage: Eukaryota; Metazoa; Chordata; Lepidosauria; Squamata; Viperidae. The record is from RNAcentral.
GCCUAGCCGUAACACACAAUUAAACAACCAAUUGUUCGCCAAACAACUACGAGCUAUACUUGAAACUUAAAAGACUUGACGGUACUUCAUCACGGCCUAGAGGAGCCUGUCUAAUAACCGACAAUCCACGAUUAACCCAACCCCUUCUUGCCCAACAGUCUAUAUACCGCCGUCGCCAGCUUACCUUGUAAAAGAAAUAAAGUGAGCUAAAUAAUACAACACUAAAACGACAGGUCGAGGUGUAACUUAUGAAGGGGCCAAGAUGGGCUACAUUCUCUCCGAGAAUACGAAUAACACUAUGAAAUUAGUGCUUGAAGGCGGAUUUAGCAGUAAGCUAAGAAUAAAAUACUUAACUGAACAUAACGCAAUGAAGUGCGUACACACCGCCCGUCAUCCCUGCCAUCAUAAUAUUAAACCUUAAUAAACCAACUUAAGAGCUAAUUCAGGGCAAGUCGUAACAUGGUAAGUGUACUGGAAAGUGUACUUAGAAA